CAGAAUUCUCAAGGAAACAUCACAAUAUAGCUAAUGACCAACCAAAUUAAUUUAAGCUAUUAUGACAAUUAAAGUAACACGACCACAAAUACAAGACAACAUUAAGACAAAAUAAAAUAAAAUACUAGACACCAACACUAUUACAAACAACUAUCUAACAAAGUUAAAUUAAUUUAAAUGCAAAACCAAAUUAGAGAAACUAAAAAGCAAUUAAUCCUACUAUGCAAAUUAAUUCAAAACAAAGAAAUAAACACACACGCUUUUUCCUACACAUCCCAUGUGACCCCAUGCACACCAACUAAAGAAAUUGAAAUUGAAAAUGGCCCACAUGACAUUCUUGUACGUAGGCCUCAUGCACCAAAAUCCCAUUUAUUCUCUUCCUUCAGCAAACCAAUUAAUGUGUUGCUCCCUUUUAUUCCAUGUGCUUCACUCUCCAAGUCAAACCUUGCUUUCCACACUUUUCUACCAUGAAAACCGUGCUUUUCGGAAAUCAACACACUCCCAAAGCCAAAUUGCCGAGACCAAACUUCCUCCUUAUUGCAAACGUGACUCCAAAAACCAAAAGCCAAAUGAAGAUGCUUUGAAUGCUUCUCCCAAGGUACCACAUGUGCAAAGUCAAAGGGGAUAAAAACAAUCACAAUACAUUCUAUCCUUAUUGCAAUUCUCGGUGAUAAGCUAGCAAAGGAUGACCACCAAAAUAGGAAAUAUUCCUUCUAUGAAAAUGUGCUUCAUAUUGUGCUUGUCCAAAGGAGGUAAAAAUUAAAUGCACCCUUUUCUCUCACUUCCAACCUCAAUUUCGGUUUCUCCACCAUCACAAACAUUCAAAUGCUUUCCUUCACAUCUCAAUACCGAGAAUGAACCCCAAGAAACCCAAAGUUCUAUUGCAAAAUAAUACAAGAGCACCAAACUCAAAGUCUACCUUCUUCAAACCAACUUCAAACUCUGUUUUCUUCAAACUUUUCAUGAAUCAAAAUGGAAUCCCUAGCUCUCUUUGUUGCACCGUCCAACCAUCAUCAACAACAAAAUGCUCCAGCUCAUAAUUUACUUCCCACCAUCAAAACAAAAGCCCAAGAAGAAAAUGGUUCAAACCUCAACACCCACACACAAACUCAAGCUUUCUUCACUACCAAACUUAACAAGAACUUCAUUUUCAUGAUUCAACCAAGAAAUGAAAACUGUGAGAGCUGCAGCAAAAGAGAAGGAAAAACGCAAAUAGCUCUUCAUUCAAACCAAAGAACCACCAUGAAAAUGCAAGAAGAACCCUUCAAGCUCAUACUUCCAACUUCAAAGAACAAGAAAUAAAAGGGGAAAUGGGGCGCUUUUUCACCACCACCAAGCAAUGUGAUACGAGACGCCUGAGGAGCUGACCGACAUGCGCGAUGCAAAAGCUCCUUCCAGCUUCUCCGACGAGGGAUACGCAGCGGAAAUGAUAAAACACGAAGAACUCUAAAAACCCUAGGAUGACCUAUGGAACCCUAGAAAAGAGGGGAAACUGGAUUUGGACCGAUUAAACGGUGGGAAUGGUGUUUUAAUCGGUGGAGAUGGAAGAUAGAGUAUGAAGAAUUCGAGCUAUGAUGAAGAUGCGCUUGGAAGGACGAAACCCUAGCAGAGGAUUUGUUUCGUAGCAGAGGAAGACGCAAAUGAUUUGUGUCUAAGGUGUGAGAAUGAAGAGGCCGCGUAGGAAAAUAAGGUGGAACCACGCGGCUGAAGUUGAGUAGCGUACGGUGGUGUCUAGGUGGCGGAGAGAGAAACUGAUGGAAAAUGAGAGAAUGAGGUAGUGUGCUGGAAGGUGGCUAGAGGAGGUCCCUUGGACUCUCUAGCCUGACUUUCAAGGGAGAAUUAUUUUCUUAUUUAGAAAACUAAAUUCUCAUUAAGCUCAAAAGUAAUUACAAGAUGUGUUAGCAUGCCUAUAUAUAGGUCACAUGCCUAACACAAUACAAAGUACAUAAAAGAAAAACUAUACUAAAGACAUUGGGCUUUGGGCCCGCGUAUCACGAUGACAACCAAGAUUCAAGCAAGAGAAGAAGAAAAAUGCAUCAUUGAUUCAUUGAACCUCAAAAACCAUGGCACACCCAAGCUCUCCAUGAGAGUUCAUACAAAACCUAAAAAUGAAGUGUAAAGUGUGCUUGAAUGUGAGUGUUCGGUCUUCCCACACCAAAUACCGAGAGAGUCACUAAAAAUGGUGGGGUCCAUCUCUAAAAGAAAUCAUAAAGUCUUUGCCAAGUGUCCCACACAUUGGGCUUCUACAAAAUUGCCACUGAAAACGACCUAAUACACAAAAUCCUAAUUAAAGUUUCUAGAAAACUAAGUUACAACUUAAUUAAAAUUGAAAUGACUAAAUGUUGAGUCUUCAAUGUGCACGCCACC
This 2367-nucleotide long non-coding RNA is filed under the name Vigna radiata. Its description in RNAcentral is "long non-coding RNA (VRAD_LNC001753)". Lineage: Eukaryota; Viridiplantae; Streptophyta; Magnoliopsida; Fabales; Fabaceae. The record is from RNAcentral.